Molecule: ribosomal RNA, 404 nt
Filed under: uncultured bacterium
Lineage: Bacteria
Description: partial 16S ribosomal RNA
Rfam family: Bacterial small subunit ribosomal RNA
Source: RNAcentral
GACGAACGCUGGCGGCGUGCCUAAUACAUGCAAGUCGAGCGGAGCGGCGAACGGGUGAGUAACGCGUGAGUAACUGACCCCCUCUCUGGGAUAACAGUUGGAAACGGCUGCUAAUACCGGAUAGUGGGGGAUGCCUCGCGUCUGAUCCGCUUGUUGGUGGGGUAGUGGCCUACCAAGGCGACGACGGGUAGCCGGCCUGCGAGUGCGACCGGCCACAUUGGGCUGAGAGACGGCCCAAACUCCUACGGGGGGCAGGAGUGGGGAAUAUUGCACAAUGGUGGAAACCCUGAUGCAGCAACGCGCGUGCGGGAUGACGGCCUUCGGGUUGUAAACCGCGUUCAGCCAUGACGCGGUAGUGGCAGAAGAAGCACCGGCUAACUACGUGACAGCAGCCGCGGUAAUAC